RNAcentral lists this ribosomal RNA (344 nucleotides) under uncultured eukaryote. RNAcentral's name for it is "SSU rRNA". It matches the Rfam family "Eukaryotic small subunit ribosomal RNA", at positions 567 to 916 of the family's 1831-position model. The record is from RNAcentral.
CCAGCAGCCGCGGUAAUUCCAGCUCCAAUAGCGUAUAUUAAAGUUGUUGCAGUUAAAAAGCUCGUAGUCGGAUUUCUGGUGCCGGGGCACGGUCCGCCGAGAGGUGUGCACUGUGCGUCGGUGCCUUUUUCCUCCCGAUGUCUGCGUGUGCUCUUAACUGAGUGUGCGUGUGGCUCGGGACCUUUACUUUGAAAAAAUUAGAGUGUUCAAAGCAGGCCUUCGCUUGAAUACAUUAGCAUGGAAUAAUGGAAUAGGACUUUGGUUCUAUUUUGUUGGUUCUAGGACCGAAGUAAUGAUUAAUAGGGAUGGUUGGGGGCAUUAGUAUUUAAUUGUCAGAGGUGAAA